CAGGGAUUGCCUUAGUAGCGGCGAGUGAAGCGGCAAAAGCUCAAAUUUGAAAUCUGGCACCUUCGGUGUCCGAGUUGUAAUUUGAAGAUUGUAACCUUGGGGUUGGCUCUUGUCUAUGUUUCUUGGAACAGGACGUCACAGAGGGUGAGAAUCCCGUGCGAUGAGAUGCCCAAUCCUAUGUAAGGUGCUUUCGAAGAGUCGAGUUGUUUGGGAAUGCAGCUCUAAGUGGGUGGUAAAUUCCAUCUAAAGCUAAAUAUUGGCGAGAGACCGAUAGCGAACAAGUACAGUGAUGGAAAGAUGAAAAGAACUUUGAAAAGAGAGUGAAAAAGUACGUGAAAUUGUUGAAAGGGAAGGGUUUGAGAUCAGACUCGAUAUUUUGUGAGCCUUGCCUUCG
Molecule: ribosomal RNA, 394 nt
Filed under: Meyerozyma guilliermondii
Lineage: Eukaryota; Fungi; Ascomycota; Pichiomycetes; Serinales; Debaryomycetaceae
Description: eukaryotic LSU rRNA
Rfam family: Eukaryotic large subunit ribosomal RNA
Source: RNAcentral